GAUGAACGCUGGCGGCGUGCCUAAUACAUGCAAGUCGAGCGAACAGACGAGGAGCUUGCUCCUCUGACGUUAGCGGCGGACGGGUGAGUAACACGUGGAUAACCUACCUAAGACUGGGAUAACUUCGGGAAACCGGAGCUAAUACCGGAUAAUAUAUUGAACCGCAUGGUUCACUAGUGAAAGACGGUUUUGCUGUCACUUAUAGAUGGAUCCGCGCCGCAUUAGCUAGUUGGUAAGGUAACGGCUUACCAAGGCAACGAUGCGUAGCCGACCUGAGAGGGUGAUCGGCCACACUGGAACUGAGACACGGUCCAGACUCCUACGGGAGGCAGCAGUAGGGAAUCUUCCGCAAAGGGCGAAAGCCUGACGGAGCAACGCCGCGUGAGUGAUGAAGGUCUUCGGAUCGUAAAACUCUGUUAUUAGGGAAGAACAAAUGUGUAAGUAACUAUGCACGUCUUGACGGUACCUAAUCAGAAAGCCACGGCUAACUACGUG
This 495-nucleotide ribosomal RNA is filed under the name uncultured bacterium. Its description in RNAcentral is "partial 16S ribosomal RNA". It matches the Rfam family "Bacterial small subunit ribosomal RNA", at positions 28 to 507 of the family's 1533-position model. The record is from RNAcentral.